This is a non-coding RNA of Picea glauca (white spruce), 117 nucleotides long. Lineage: Eukaryota; Viridiplantae; Streptophyta; Pinopsida; Pinales; Pinaceae. The record is from Rfam.
UUUCUAAAACAUAGGGUUAAUGCAUCGGAUCCCAUUAGAACUCCGUAGUUAAGCACGCUUGGGAUAGAGUAGUACUGGGAUGGGUGAUAGCCCGGGAAGUCCUAGUAUUUUAUAUGC